AUUGCGGCCAUGGGUUAGCCUAUGGCCACGUCUGUCCGAGGGUCG
This 45-nucleotide ribosomal RNA is filed under the name Paradiscogaster flindersi. RNAcentral's name for it is "partial 5.8S ribosomal RNA". Lineage: Eukaryota; Metazoa; Platyhelminthes; Trematoda; Plagiorchiida; Zoogonidae. The record is from RNAcentral.